RNAcentral lists this ribosomal RNA (207 nucleotides) under uncultured bacterium. Its description in RNAcentral is "partial 16S ribosomal RNA". It matches the Rfam family "Bacterial small subunit ribosomal RNA", at positions 568 to 774 of the family's 1533-position model. The record is from RNAcentral.
AGCGCAGGCGGGAAGACAAGUUGGAAGUGAAAUCUAUGGGCUCAACCCAUAAACUGCUUUCAAAACUGUUUUUCUUGAGUAGUGCAGAGGUAGGCGGAAUUUCCGGUGUAGCGGUGGAAUGCGUAGAUAUCGGGAGGAACACCAGUGGCGAAGGCGGCCUACUGGGCACCAACUGACGCUGAGGCUCGAAAGUGUGGGUAGCAAACA